AAAAUGAACACUGCCUUGAGACUUCCUUUAAUCUCAUUGCGAAAUAAUGUUUUUAGGGGAUGCUUAUUGCACAAUCGAGCAGUUGGUAUAUUCGCAAAGAAAAUUUCACCCGAAAGUCGUCUUACAAUUUUACCACCCCUCAUUAACAUGGAAACAUCAGAUAGCCAACCUGUCAAGAGUUUGACGAUGGAAGAUAUAAUUGAGAAAAGAAUUCAGUUUAUUCCUCUUUACAGGUUCAGAUUACUGGCUUCAGUGAUCGCAUUUUCGAAGAUGAAAAUUUAUCUGACAGGAUUGUCUGUGUUAGUUUUGCCUCCUUUGUCUAUCUCAAUCUACAGCAGUGGCGCAUGAAAACACUUUGUUGGAUGCAGUAGUAGUGAACAGUGUAGCUGUGUUGUCCUGUUCUCUCCUCUACUGGAUGAGUCUGUUCACCAGAGGGUUAAUUGGGUUCAUCUAUGUGUCCGAGUGUGGCACUUGGACUAGAUUAGCACACCUCACCUUCUGGGGAAACAGACACGAUACCAUCUUUGAAUCCAGUAGAAUAAUACCUAUGCAGUAUUCGAAAAACAAGCCUGGAUCUAAAAUUAAGAAACUGGAACUAGAAGGAAUGAGCAACUCCAGGUUCAAGUUUGUCUACAGUCCUCGUCUCAGAAUCAUCUAUGAUUUCGACACAUUUCACGAGUUUUUAGGUUAUGACAGAAUGAGUAAAUGAUCGAUAGCCGUUGUCUAAAACGGGUCUGCUUGAUUUGAUCUUGUUUAAGUGAUGUGAUGCAGUGGUUUGAAAAUUCUCUUGACUAUCUCUAAUUCCCGAUUUAUGUUUAAUUUCAAAAUAUAUUUUGAUCAAAUACUUUGAAUUAACUGCGAUGUGUUUGACUACCUCUGAAUAAUUUACAA
Molecule: long non-coding RNA, 891 nt
Organism: Symsagittifera roscoffensis
Lineage: Eukaryota; Metazoa; Xenacoelomorpha; Acoela; Convolutidae
Exons: 3
Source: RefSeq, a predicted model, not a curated record